Molecule: ribosomal RNA, 275 nt
Filed under: uncultured bacterium
Lineage: Bacteria
Description: partial 16S ribosomal RNA
Rfam family: Bacterial small subunit ribosomal RNA
Source: RNAcentral
CUACGUAGGGGGCAAGCGUUGUCCGGAAUUACUGGGCGUAAAGAGCUCGUAGGCGGCUCAGCAAGUCGGUCGUGAAAGCCCGAGGCUCAACCUCGGAACUGCGGUCGAUACUGCUGUGGCUAGAGUCCGGUAGAGGAGAGUGGAAUUCCCGGUGUAGCGGUGGAAUGCGCAGAUAUCGGGAGGAACACCAGUGGCGAAGGCGGCUCUCUGGGCCGGUACUGACGCUGAGGAGCGAAAGCGUGGGGAGCAAACAGGAUUAGAAACCCUAGUAGUCC